UGGGGAAUUGUUCGCAAUGGGCGAAAGCCUGACGACGCAACGCCGCGUGGAGGACGAAAACCUUCGGGUCGUAAACUCCUGUCGAGUGGGACGAAUACUACCUGGGUUAAUACCUCAGGUGGCUGACGGUACCACUAAAGGAAGCCCCGGCUAACUCCGUGCCAGCAGCCGCGGUAAUACGGGGGGGGCAAGCGUUGUUCGGAUUUACUGGGCGUAAAGAGCUCGUAGGCGGCUUGCUUAGUCGAACGUGAAAUCCCUUGGCUCAACUGAGGAACUGCGUCCGAUACUGGCAGGCUUGAAUCCGGGAGAGGGAUGCGGAAUUCCAGGUGUAGCGGUGAAAUGCGUAGAUAUCUGGAGGAACACCGGUGGCGAAGGCGGCAUCCUGGACCGGUAUUGACGCUGAGGAGCGAAAGCCAGGGUAGCAAACGGG
This 430-nucleotide ribosomal RNA is filed under the name uncultured bacterium. Its description in RNAcentral is "bacterial SSU rRNA". It matches the Rfam family "Bacterial small subunit ribosomal RNA", at positions 355 to 776 of the family's 1533-position model. The record is from RNAcentral.